This is a long non-coding RNA of Oreochromis niloticus (Nile tilapia), 468 nucleotides long. RefSeq lists it as uncharacterized. NCBI's taxonomy places the organism in Eukaryota, Metazoa, Chordata, Actinopteri, Cichliformes, Cichlidae. The record is from RefSeq and is a predicted model, not a curated record. The transcript has 3 exons.
CCCUGUGUUUUCCUCUGUCCGUGUGUCAUCGUUACCUCAUGCAGCUGUGUGUCUCGCUGUGCCUUCUUGGUGUUUCCUCUGAGUUUCCAGUUUUAGUUUCUAGUUCUAGUUCCAAAGUUUCUAUUUCUACUUUUAUUUAUGUUUUAUUGUAUUGAGUUUUGCACAGCCAUUAAAGCUGCCUCCUUCAGUUAAACCUUUCGUUUCGAGUCCUGCAUCUGGGUCCUACAUCCUGCCUGCCAAAGCACUAGUCAUGACAAUAAAGCUCAUACCCACAAGAAGAGAAAAGAAUGAUGAGAUUAUUCCAGUUAAAGCCACAGACAGCAGACACGAGACCAUCCUUUGCCAGCAGGAUCAAGGAGGAGAAAAAGGCAAGACAAGAACUGGGCUUACUGGUCUAUUCAGCCCUUCUUGGUAUGAUUCAGAUCUCCCAUUUGCAAACAGUUUGAUCUAAAAGCCAGGAUGCUUGGC